AGAAGGGUCGGAGGAGUCUGCGGGCGGCUGGCGCUGCCUACCUUGAACUCUGCGGAAAGUUGGGGCGUGUAUUCGCGCGUCCAGAGCGCGCGCACCAGCGCCGCCAGCUGCUCGGUGACCUCGGCGCGGCCCGGCGCCGCCCGGUAGCGCCCCAGCGCUAGGAACUCGGCCAGCAGGUCGGUGUUGCUGAGACACUGCACCACCGCGUUCAUGAAACAGGUGUUGCCAUGGUUCUUCAAGCCCUGAGCGCCGGGCGGACGCGCCCCGUCACCCGAAGAUAUCUGGGGUUGGGAUCCCGGAGGACGAUCUGGCCCUGGACUCCCGGCAGAGGCUGGUGCCGGGCCCGGGGCGCAGGCAAAGCCCCCUUCUCCAUCGCCAUCGUAGGGACUGGGCUGGGCCGGGGGCCGGGGCGGCGAGUCCCCCGAGCGGGAGCGGCUGCCCAGAGCUAGCAGGAAGCGGUUAAGCAGGCGGCGAAGGGAACGGCGGCGGCGGGGCCGGGGCGCGGGCGGCCCCUCUCCCAGUGCGUUCCCCACGCCCGGAUCCAUGCUGGCCACGCACGGUGGUCCGGGAGCGCAGCCCCCGAGACCCCAGGCGGGCCGGCAGCUUCCCGGUCCUCACCGCCUCCCGGAGGCGCCGGGCGCCGGCUACCUGAGAGCCAGGUGUGCGGACACCGGGCGAGGGCGGAGCCAGGGGCGGGGCCGCCACGCCACGCCCCACGCGGGAAUCCGGCCCUAGGGCAGCGCCCGCCGCCGGGCUCCCGCCCCCGCGGCUGGAGCUGGGAAUGCACUCCCUCUGAGCCCGCCUAGUGGACUUCCCCGCCCUUCCUUCCCGCCUUGGAACAGGCCUUUCACCUCGGCUCGCCUUCCCCGCCCAUCCCUAAACAGCGUAGCUAACCCGGGGAUGGAACCUUCUGAAGCGCCCAGCGAAGCAAAGCCCUGGCUCUGGCUAAGUUUCUGGUCGUGGAAGCCAGAUGAAGACUAAGAAAAUUGACCGGCGAGCGGUGCCCCUGUUCGUGCCCAGGUGUCCCGAGAGGCGCGCGCUGGCAGCUGUGCAGGCCCAGUAUCUGCCAGCAGUUUGGUCUUGGGGUUCAUUUUGAGAAUAUCCCCGGUUGUGGUGCCAAGGUAGAAGAAGCUGUCGUCGUCGGCCAUCUAGGAGAUCAGAAACAGAAACCUGAAGACUCGAGUCUCCCCAGGAGUCUAGGAAGCCCCAGUCAGAAAGGAGAUGGAAUUCCAUAACCUCUGACAAAGAAGCUCAUGGUAACAUCGGUCUCCCAAGACGUAAGGACAGGUCAGCACAGCUCUGAGUGCAGCAGAGUCAGGGCCACCCGCAGCUGGAGGGUGAAUUUUACUUGACAUUCAUUCGGGUCUGAUGCUAACACACACAUGACCAGUGCCAGCUGCUGAGUCACCUCCAAAGGGCUCUUAGGAUAAGGAUGUGCUUCCUCUAUGGGGACACACAUUUGCUUUAUUCCAGUCUCCAAAGGCUACGCUCAUAAAAGGGACUAUGCAUUAAAGGAGGAAGAAUAGAUCAAGGAAUGGAGCAGAGAGUUCUAUGAAUGAAUUAUGAUUCUGUAUAUAAUCACAUCAAUAACGUCUCUUUGUGGAAGAGUCUGCAUUUCAACAGUGCAUUUCCCCAUCAGACACUUUAUUUCCUAAGAAAGGAAUAACCAUGGUGGCAGACGGAGCUGCAACAUAUCUUCAGUGUCACCUGGCCACACUGCUUCCCUCCAGGUCAGGCUUUGGAUGUUUGGUAAUGAGUGGCGAAGGUGCCAGUGAAAUGGGACCUCUUAGCGCUUGCUGUGCUCCUUCCCAGCUGUGUGCUCCCUCUGAGCUAUACCUCCUCACCAGCAUCCCACCACCGGUCUAUCCCUCCUCUCUAGCCUGGCCCAGUGCACACACACCCCUGCUCAGGCUGCUGCUGCUGCUGCAGGCACUUGCACUAGGAGUCAAUGUAGCAACCGUUGAGGCGGUACUUACUCCAGUACUCAAGACUAUUCUUUUCAUCUGUCCUGUUUGGCACUCGGUUGGCCAGAUUUUUCUAUUUGGAAGAUCCAGUUCCCACACUCGAAUUGUCCCACUACAAAGAAAAAAAUCACAAUCAAAUGGAUACCCUUUUAAGCACUGCUUCACAUCUUUUAGGGUAUUUCCACCCCACCCCACCCCACCUCACCCCCUCUUGAAGGAGAAGCUGACAGGAAGAGGGAGAAAUAUUUCUGAGGAUUUUUACUUUUCGAGCCCACUGUACAACUUGAGAAUUUCCCACUCAGCCUCAGAGCAACACUAAGAGGUAGGUUGUAUGCUCCCCGCCUCUGCAGGUGGGACGAUGCAGACAGAGCUUACACACAGCAGAACAGGACUCAUACCCCUGCUCUGUCACGCAUUGAAGUGUACACUCUCCCCACUGUACUGAGAGAAGAAGGUAUAAUCAAGUAGACAACCCAGGCGUGGUGCAUCCUUGACUCUCAGCAUGUAGGACACUGAGGCAGGCAGAUCUCUGAGUCAGCCUGGUCUACAUAGUAAGUUCCAGGACAGCAAGGGCUACAUAAAUGUGGCCCUGUCUCAAAGAUAAAUUAACAAAUUAGUCAUGCAAAUAAAUGUAGAACAAACCAGGGUUCUUAAUAUUCAGGGAAGUCCUCUUAUUAUUAAGUGGUUACAUAUAUUUACAAUAUACAGCAUGAGGUUUUAAUGCAUAAACACACUGUGGAAAGGUUAAAUUAAACUGCUAAGCAUGUGUGUCACCUUAUUUAUCUCUUCCUAGUAAGAACACUUGAAAUCCACUCCCAUUGGAUUUCCACUUUCAGUGUUAUUUAACAUAUGCUGUGUCCGAAUAUUGCUAUGGACUGUAGUCACCGUGGGGUAUACACACUGAGUGCCCAUCGAUCGACGAGUGGAUGAUGAGUGUGCAUAUAUACAAAGGAAAACUGUUGGCCCUUAAGAAAGGUGGACAUCUGGAGAAGACCAUGCUAGCCGGAAUGAGCCCAUCACAGAAAGACAAAUAUUGCCUGAUCUCACUCUUGUGGAAUCUAAAUGGAAUGUACCAGAGGCUUGGGUGAGAGAGGGCAAGUGGAAGAUGUUUGUUCAGGACACCGAAUCUCAGUUAGGAGAAAUUAGGUGGUGAUAUCUUUUUUUUUUUUUCUUUCAGAAGCAAGAUCUCAUGUAGCCCAGGCUGGCCUCAUAACUCACUGUGUAACUAAGGCUGGCCAUAAGACUCUUGCCUCUGCUUCCCAAAUGCUGGGAUUACAGACAUGCACCUUGCUUAAUGGAGGAUGUUUUAGUUUGGAGAAUUCCUGUCUCCAAGGAUAGAGACGUGAGAUUAAAUGAGUAAAAGUUUAAGUUAGU
RNAcentral lists this long non-coding RNA (3338 nucleotides) under Mus musculus (house mouse). RNAcentral's name for it is "RIKEN cDNA 9130017K11 gene". The record is from RNAcentral. Lineage: Eukaryota; Metazoa; Chordata; Mammalia; Rodentia; Muridae.